This 539-nucleotide unclassified non-coding RNA is filed under the name Daphnia pulicaria. RNAcentral's name for it is "uncharacterized LOC124338358, transcript variant X1". The record is from RNAcentral. Lineage: Eukaryota; Metazoa; Arthropoda; Branchiopoda; Diplostraca; Daphniidae.
CGAAUGGGUCCGUUAGUGACGAAAUCACGAAACUUCUUCCAUUUCUUCUAAAGACACUGAGCGGAAAGGUCCAGUUUUACUCAUUCUGCCAGGUGAAGUCUGCGCUUCUUUGUUGCAGUCAUCCAGUGAAAGGUGUGUUAAAUUGAGCUGUUGCAUGCAGUCUUUGGUGCUGAUUUUGUCCUGGAAUGUGGGAGAGUUCCAUGCUUCAAGUCUUCUGGGAUCAGCCAUAUCUGAGUUGACGCUGGAUCAUGCUGCAUUGUGGUUGCCGAAAUGUUGGACAUCUAGUAGAACUGCAAGAAGACUCCUUGAAAUGGUUUAUGUUUACGUGAUGUUGCUGUCCAAUAUGGCAUGUAGUUGCAGCCUAUACUGGUGAAAGAUUUUUUGCAUCGAGUUAUGCUGUUGCUGUUCCUUGGUGCCGGACUGCUGGUGUUGUGCACAAAAGUUACAUCCAUUUUUAAUUGUUAUUUGUAUCUAUUCAGUUAACCGCUUAUAUGUUGAAAAGGAACAGAAAAGUUCCUUGGUGUUGAAUCGCUGCAUGG